Molecule: ribosomal RNA, 497 nt
Filed under: uncultured bacterium
Lineage: Bacteria
Description: partial 16S ribosomal RNA
Rfam family: Bacterial small subunit ribosomal RNA
Source: RNAcentral
GAUGAACGCUGGCGGCGUGCCUAAUACAUGCCAGUCGAGCGAACAGACGAGGAGCUUGCUCCUCUGACGUUAGCGGCGGACGGGUGAGUAACACGUGGAUAACCUACCUAUAGGACUGGGAUAACUUCGGGAAACCGGAGCUAAUACCGGAUAAUAUAUUGAACCGCAUGGUUCAAUAGUGAAAGACGGUUUUGCUGUCACUUAUAGAUGGAUCCGCGCCGCAUUAGCUAGUUGGUAAGGUAACGGCUUACCAAGGCAACGAUGCGUAGCCGACCUGAGAGGGUGAUCGGCCACACUGGAACUGAGACACGGUCCAGACUCCUACGGGAGGCAGCAGUAGGGAAUCUUCCGCAAUGGGCGAAAGCCUGACGGAGCAACGCCGCGUGAGUGAUGAAGGUCUUCGGAUCGUAAAACUCUGUUAUUAGGGAAGAACAAAUGUGUAAGUAACUAUGCACGUCUUGACGGUACCUAAUCAGAAAGCCACGGCUAACUACGUG